This 215-nucleotide long non-coding RNA is filed under the name Neodiprion pinetum (white pine sawfly). RNAcentral describes it as "uncharacterized LOC124222509". The record is from RNAcentral. Lineage: Eukaryota; Metazoa; Arthropoda; Insecta; Hymenoptera; Diprionidae.
AGAGGUUUUAGUAUAUUCGCAUACGGAUUUCUGUAUAUAGGUAUACUUGAACUAAAAUAUCCUUCUCCCUAAUACGGAGUGGUUCGUAAUUCGCAUUUGUUCUUGUAACCCAAUGUCCUACAUACGAUGGCAAAAAUCUAGAACCAACUUAACUGAGCGGACGAGCGUCGUGUUAGGGACAUUCCGAAAGUGAAUUCAAAACUCGUUCAAAUAUC